UUGUUGCCUCGGCGGAUCAGCCCGCUCCCGGUAAAACGGGACGGCCCGCCAGAGGACCCCUAAACUCUGUUUCUAUAUGUAACUUCUGAGUAAAACCAUAAAUAAAUCAAAACUUUCAACAACGGAUCUCUUGGUUCUGGCAUCGAUGAAGAACGCAGCAAAAUGCGAUAAGUAAUGUGAAUUGCAGAAUUCAGUGAAUCAUCGAAUCUUUGAACGCACAUUGCGCCCGCCAGUAUUCUGGCGGCAUGCCUGUUCGAGCGUCAUUUCAACCCUCAAGCACAGCUUGGUGUUGGGACUCGCGUUAAUUCGCGUUCCCCAAAUUGAUUGGCGGUCACGUCGAGCUUCCAUAGCGUAGUAGUAAAACCCUCGUUACUGGUAAUCGUCGCGGCCACGCCGUUAAACCCCAACUUCUGAAUGUUGACCUCGGAUCAGGUAGGAAUACCCGCUGAACUUAAGC
This 457-nucleotide ribosomal RNA is filed under the name Fusarium oxysporum. RNAcentral's name for it is "eukaryotic LSU rRNA". The stretch from base 111 to 263 matches the Rfam family "5.8S ribosomal RNA". The record is from RNAcentral. Lineage: Eukaryota; Fungi; Ascomycota; Sordariomycetes; Hypocreales; Nectriaceae.